Small nucleolar RNA from Tachyglossus aculeatus (Australian echidna), 138 nucleotides. Lineage: Eukaryota; Metazoa; Chordata; Mammalia; Monotremata; Tachyglossidae. The record is from RefSeq and is a predicted model, not a curated record.
ACCCUCUCAGGAUCACACCUGGAGAGUUUCCAGUCCUCUACCAGUUUCGACUAUGGGAGGGAGAGUCAAGCAGAGGCCUUCCCAUCCCAUUCCUAGUUUGGCCAGUGGCUAGUCAGUGGAAGGCAUCCUGCUACAUGU